GAUGAACGCUGGCGGCGUGCCUAAUACAUGCCAGUCGAGCGAACAGACGAGGAGCUUGCUCCUCUGACGUUAGCGGCGGACGGGUGAGUAACACGUGGAUAACCUACCUAUAAGACUGGGAUAACUUCGGGAAACCGGAGCUAAUACCGGAUAAUAUAUUGAACCGCAUGGUUCAAUAGUGAAAGACGGUUUUGCUGUCACUUAUAGAUGGAUCCGCGCCGCAUUAGCUAGUUGGUAAGGUAACGGCUUACCAAGGCAACGAUGCGUAGCCGACCUGAGAGGGUGAUCGGCCACACUGGAACUGAGACACGGUCCAGACUCCUACGGGAGGCAGCAGUAGGGAAUCUUCCGCAAUGGGCGAAAGCUUGACGGAGCAACGCCGCGUGAGUGAUGAAGGUCUUCGGAUCGUAAAACUCUGUUAUUAGGGAAGAACAAAUGUGAAAGUAACUAUGCACGUCUUGACGGUACCUAAUCAGAAAGCCACGGCUAACUACGUG
This 497-nucleotide ribosomal RNA is filed under the name uncultured bacterium. Its description in RNAcentral is "partial 16S ribosomal RNA". It matches the Rfam family "Bacterial small subunit ribosomal RNA", at positions 28 to 507 of the family's 1533-position model. The record is from RNAcentral.